UUUAUUACAAACCCUGGUGUUUAACCCACUUCAGUCACACUUGUGAGGCUAUGCCACCGCCUUCACUCCUGUGUCAGGUCAGGAACACACAUACACAGACCCGCUGAUCUUUGCCAUGUUAAGAGUGUACAUACACAUACCCAGUGGUAUAAUAUACAUACUGUCAGGAACACUUCUCUUCUCCACCACAAACUACAAGCAAAUACAGGUUCAGUGACCCAAGAGCUAAAGGCAAAGCAACACUCGGAUGGGCACUAUGAAAGAGCCCUUCUCUUUUGAGGUUACUUGAACAUCUGGUCCAGAUUUUAAGGGAAUGAAACAAGGAAGAGUGUGUUACAUUUUAAAAGCAGUAAAGGCUAAGAAAAUGUAAAAUUCAGUGAGCAGAAGCUCAGCCAUCACUGAAUGAGAGUAGAGCAGGGGAGCUGGGCCCCCUCAUUUGUAGCAGAAACUUCCCUACGCAACACGAAGUUCUAGAA
This 476-nucleotide long non-coding RNA is filed under the name Bos taurus (domestic cattle). RNAcentral's name for it is "long non-coding RNA NONBTAT022760". Lineage: Eukaryota; Metazoa; Chordata; Mammalia; Artiodactyla; Bovidae. The record is from RNAcentral.